UGCCAGCCGCCGCGGUAAUACGGAGGGUGCGAGCGUUAAUCGGAAUUACUGGGCGUAAAGCGCACGUAGGCGGUUCGUCAAGUCAGGUGUGAAAUCCCUCGGCUCAACCGGGGAGCUGCAUCUGAUACUGGCGAGCUCGAGGAUGGUAGGGGUGAGCGGAACUCCAGGUGGAGCGGUGAAAUGCGUAGAUAUCUGGAGGAACACCGGUGGCGAAGGCGGCUCACUGGACCAUCUCUGACGCUGAGGUGCGAAAGCCAGGGUAGCAAACGGGAUUAGAUA
This 279-nucleotide ribosomal RNA is filed under the name uncultured bacterium. RNAcentral's name for it is "partial 16S ribosomal RNA". It matches the Rfam family "Bacterial small subunit ribosomal RNA", at positions 506 to 784 of the family's 1533-position model. The record is from RNAcentral.